AGGAUAAACGCUGGCGGCGUGCCUAACACAUGCAAGUCGAACGUCUCUUCUUUCGGGAAGAGGAGUGGCGGACGGGUGAGGAACACGUGGGAACCUGCCCUUCAGUGAGGAAUACCGGCGAGAAAUCGCCGACAAGACCGCAUAGCCCUCUCUGGUGAGAGCCAGAGAAGGAAAGCCUCGCAAGAGGCGCUGGAGGAGGGGCCUGCGUCCGAUUAGCUAGUUGGUGGGGUAAGAGCCUACCAAGGCGUCGAUCGGUAGCUGGUCUGAGAGGACGAUCAGCCACACUGGGAUUGAGAACGGCCCAGACUCCUACGGGGGGCAGCAGUGAGGAAUUUUCGGCAAUGGGGGAAACCCUGACCGAGCAACGCCGCGUGCAGGAAGACGGCCUUCGGGUUGUAAACUGCUUUUCUUGGGACGAGCAAGGACGGUACCAGAGGAAUCACGCCCGGCUCACUACGUGCCAGCAGCCGC
RNAcentral lists this ribosomal RNA (471 nucleotides) under uncultured bacterium. RNAcentral's name for it is "SSU rRNA". It matches the Rfam family "Bacterial small subunit ribosomal RNA", at positions 26 to 518 of the family's 1533-position model. The record is from RNAcentral.